GGCGAGGGUUGAAGUUUCUCAAAUGCAAUCAAACUCCAAGGUCAAGGUCAAAAGGUAAAAAUUGUUGGUAUCAAAAGAAAAGUCUUGUCACAAGAAAUACACCUGUGAAAUAUCAAAGCCAUAGCCCCACCCAUUCAAAAGUUAUAAUCAAGGUUAAAGUUUUUGCGGAGAAACAGACAAACAGA
This is a long non-coding RNA of Saccostrea echinata, 185 nucleotides long. RefSeq lists it as uncharacterized. Lineage: Eukaryota; Metazoa; Mollusca; Bivalvia; Ostreida; Ostreidae. The record is from RefSeq and is a predicted model, not a curated record. The transcript has 3 exons.